GACAGACGGAGACAGUGAGGGAGACAGACACGGACAGAGAGGGAGACAGACAGACAGAGAGGGGGACAGACAGACAGAGAGGGGGACAGACAGAGACACGGACAGAGAGGGAGACAGACAGAGGCAGACAGACACGGACAGAGAGGCAGACAGACACGGACAGAGAGGCAGACAGACACGGACAGAGAGGGAGACAGACACGGACAGAGAGGGAGACAGACACGGACAGAGAGGGAGACAGACACGGACAGAGAGGGAGACAGACACGGACAGAGAGGGAGACAGACACGGACAGAGAGGGAGACAGACACGGACAGAGAGGGAGACAGACACGGACAGAGAGGGAGACAGACACGGACAGAGAGGAGACAGACAGAGACAGAGAGGGAGACCGACAGAGACACGGACAGAGAGGGAGACAGACAGAGACAGAGAGGGAGACAGACACGGACAGAGAGGGAGACAGACAGAGACAGACAGGCCUCAAACAGUCCAAUGCACAGGGUCCCUAUUUGUAUCGUGCACUUUUUCACUACCCGCCAUUUGACCGCGUCUAUAUACAUGCCUUAUUUGUGGAAUGUGUCAAAUCUGAGUGAAAAUUCUGACUAGUUUUUAUUUUACUUCACCGCUAUUCAGUGUAAGCAUUUUACGACGUGUUCCUCUCCGAAUAACGCGGCACACGAACCCGAACCCGACGGAUGGGUCCGAUCGCUAACCGUGUGCCUUCUGAACCACGUACAGGCGGUGUUCUUCAGACGACAGAUGACCUUUCUGCUUUCAGUCUCGCGUCCGCACCAGAUCGUGCGGAGGAGUGAAUUAAAGGAGCCUGUCAUACAAAUUCCAUAUUAAAAUACCACCAGGUGUGUGCAGAUAGUACAGUUUUAUAUUUCUAUUCCGAUCACUUAAAGGGGCAGCGUGUCAUUUUUAGAGCCCCUAAGUUAACACUGUACUGUGUGAAACCGAAUGGCUUUUCUACAUCUCUGAACACUUUGAAACAUUACAGACUGCAC
Molecule: long non-coding RNA, 1010 nt
Organism: Ictalurus punctatus (channel catfish)
Lineage: Eukaryota; Metazoa; Chordata; Actinopteri; Siluriformes; Ictaluridae
Source: Ensembl